Molecule: ribosomal RNA, 1218 nt
Filed under: Pistorius bidens
Lineage: Eukaryota; Metazoa; Arthropoda; Malacostraca; Isopoda; Sphaeromatidae
Description: SSU rRNA
Rfam family: Eukaryotic small subunit ribosomal RNA
Source: RNAcentral
CAAAGAUUAAGCCAUGCAUGUCUAAGUACGAGCCUUCCUUAGUGUGAAACCGCGAACGGCUCAUUAAAUCAGUCAUAAUCCAUUGGAUGCAGUUCAUCCCUACUCGGAUAACUGUGGCAAUUCUAGAGCUAAUACGUGCACUUGAGCUCCGACGCCGAGGGGGUCGGCUCCUUCGGGAGCCUCCCUCUCGGGGGAAGGGCGCAGUUAUUAGAAUCAUAAACCGAGGCGGGCUCUCGAGUCCGAAACCUCUCGGCUAUGGUGACUCUGGAUAACGGUUGCCAAGCGCUCAGGCCCUCGAGCCGGCGCUGCAUCUUUUCGAGUGACUGCCCUAUCAGCUUUCGAUCGUAGGAUCGGGGCCUACGAUGGCUGUAACGGGUAACGGGGAAUCAGGGUUCGAUUCCGGAGAGGGAGCCUGAGAAACGGCUACCACAUCUAAGGAAGGCAGCAGGCACGCAAAUUACCCAAUCCCGGUUCGGGGAGGUAGUGACGAUAAAUACCGAUGCGGGACUCAUCCGAGGCCUCGCAAUCGGAAUGAGCUCACCUUAAAAAAGUGGGCGAGGAUCGAUUGGAGGGCAAGUCUGGUGCCAGCAGCCGCGGUAAUUCCAGCUCCAAUAGCGUAUAUUAAAGUGNNNNNNNNNNNNAAAGCAGGCCUAAAGCUCUUUACGCCUGAAUAGUAAUGCAUUGAAUGAUGGAACAGGACCUCGGUUCUGACUUAUUUUUUUCUCGGUUUUUCCCGAACCCGAGGUAAUGAUUAACGGGAACGGUCGGGGGCAUUAGUAUUGCGACGCGAGGGGUGAAAUCCAGUGACCGUCGCAAGACUACCUACUGCGAAAGCAUUUGCCAAGAACGCUUUCAUUAAUCAAGAACGAAAGUUAGAGGAUCGAAGGCGAUCAGAUACCGCCCUAGUUCUAACUAUAAACGAUGCCAACUAGCGAUCCGCGUACAGUCAUUCCCAAGACUGCGCGGGAAGCCCCCGGGAAACCUAAGUCUUUGGGUUCCGGGGGUAGUAUGGUUGCAAAGCUGAAACUUAAAGGAAUUGACGGAAGGGCACCACCAGGAGUGGAGCCUGCGGCUUAAUUUGACUCAACACGGGAAACCUCACCAGGCCCGGACACCGGAAGGAUUGACAGAUUGAGAGCUCUUUCUCGAUUCGGUGGUUGGUGGUGCAUGGCCGUUCUUAGUUGGUGGAGCGAUUUGUCUGGUUAAUUCCGAUAACGA